Molecule: ribosomal RNA, 643 nt
Filed under: uncultured bacterium
Lineage: Bacteria
Description: bacterial SSU rRNA
Rfam family: Bacterial small subunit ribosomal RNA
Source: RNAcentral
CGCGGCCUAUCAGCUUGUUGGUGGGGUGAUGGCCUACCAAGGCGACGACGGGUAGCCGGCCUGAGAGGGCGACCGGCCACACUGGGACUGAGACACGGCCCAGACUCCUACGGGAGGCAGCAGUGGGGAAUAUUGCGCAAUGGGCGAAAGCCUGACGCAGCGACGCCGCGUGAGGGAUGAAGGCCUUCGGGUUGUAAACCUCUUUCAGCAGGGACGAAGCGCAAGUGACGGUACCUGCAGAAGAAGCACCGGCCAACUACGUGCCAGCAGCCGCGGUAAUACGUAGGGUGCGAGCGUUGUCCGGAAUUAUUGGGCGUAAAGAGCUCGUAGGCGGUUUGUCGCGUCGACUGUGAAAACCCGAGGCUUAACCUCGGGCCUGCAGUCGAUACGGGCAGACUAGAGUUCGGUAGGGGAGACUGGAAUUCCUGGUGUAGCGGUGAAAUGCGCAGAUAUCAGGAGGAACACCGGUGGCGAAGGCGGGUCUCUGGGCCGAUACUGACGCUGAGGAGCGAAAGCGUGGGGAGCGAACAGGAUUAGAUACCCUGGUAGUCCACGCCGUAAACGUUGGGCGCUAGGUGUGGGGGUCUUUCCACGAUCUCCGUGCCGCAGCUAACGCAUUAAGCGCCCCGCCUGGGGAGUACGG